AUGGCAUGAGUUUAAGCAUUAUCAUAAUAAAUGGAAAAGUUUGGUAGCAAAUUAAGCAGGGGCGAAGCCAAAUUUUUGGAAGGGUCCCUGGCUGGCGUCAUGGAGUGGAAUGUUGCUGAAUUGUCGGCAAAUUCCUACUGCAUUGAAAGUGUUUGUUGAAGAAGGUCUUCUUAAUGACUCAAAGCUGAUGAUCAUAGGGUCGGUUUCAGAAUAACACCGUUGUUUGGAGUUCAAAUUGCAGCAGGCGACCAUGGACUUUGGCUUAGAUCUUCAUGAAGAUCGAUGGAAUUGGUGGGCUCAUUUCAUUAUAUCUUGAAAGAGGGAAAUGGCUUUGCAGAUGCAUUGGUUAAAGGGGGAAUUUUUCGAACUAGCUUAUUCAAAGCUUGGUGGUAGGAGAUGUCUGGGUAUUUUUUUUUUCUUUUCCUGCUGGGUUUAUUUUAUAUGUUAAUAGUGGAAUUUUGUUUAAUUUAAGAGCUAAAAAUCAUCAUA
Gossypium arboreum is the source of this 489-nucleotide long non-coding RNA. RefSeq lists it as uncharacterized. NCBI's taxonomy places the organism in Eukaryota, Viridiplantae, Streptophyta, Magnoliopsida, Malvales, Malvaceae. The record is from RefSeq and is a predicted model, not a curated record. The transcript is spliced from 2 exons.